GACGAACGCUGGCGGCGUGCUUAACACAUGCAAGUCGAACGAAGUGGCGAACGGGUGAGUAACGCGUAAUCAACCUGCCCUUCAGAGGGGGACAACAGUUGGAAACGACUGCUAAUACCGCAUACUGAAGGAGGGGAUUGCGUCUGAUUAGCUAGUUGGAGGGGUAACGGCCCACCAAGGCGAUGAUCAGUAGCCGAUAGGAGAAGUAGAACGGACAUAGUGGGACUGAGACACGGCCCAGACUCCUACGGGCGGCAGCAGUGGGGAAACUGCCGCAAUGGACGAAAGUCUGACGGAGCAACGCCGCGUGAGCGAUGACGGCCUUCGGGUGGUAAAGCGCUGUUAAUCGGGACGCGGGACCGGAAUAGAAAUACACGGCUAACUACGUGCCAGCAGACGAGGUAAUAC
Molecule: ribosomal RNA, 408 nt
Filed under: uncultured bacterium
Lineage: Bacteria
Description: partial 16S ribosomal RNA
Rfam family: Bacterial small subunit ribosomal RNA
Source: RNAcentral